UACGGAGGAUCCAAGCGUUUAUCCGGAUUCAUUGGGUUUAAAGGGUGCGUAGGCGGAAUGAUAAGUCAGUGGUGAAAUCCUGCAGCUUAACUGCAGAACUGCCAUUGAUACUGUCAAUCUUGAGUAUAUUUGAUGUGGGCGGAAUGUGUCAUGUAGCGGUGAAAUGCUUAGAUAUGACACAGAACACCGAUUGCGAAGGCAGCUCACAAAACUAUAACUGACGCUGAGGCACGAAAGCGUGGGUAUCAAACAGG
Molecule: ribosomal RNA, 254 nt
Filed under: uncultured bacterium
Lineage: Bacteria
Description: partial 16S ribosomal RNA
Rfam family: Bacterial small subunit ribosomal RNA
Source: RNAcentral